UGCAUCGUGUUGUUGAAGUGCUUUUCCA
RNAcentral lists this non-coding RNA (28 nucleotides) under Bombyx mori (domestic silkworm). The record is from RNAcentral. Lineage: Eukaryota; Metazoa; Arthropoda; Insecta; Lepidoptera; Bombycidae.